This is a non-coding RNA of Osmia lignaria (orchard mason bee), 513 nucleotides long. The record is from RefSeq and is a predicted model, not a curated record. NCBI's taxonomy places the organism in Eukaryota, Metazoa, Arthropoda, Insecta, Hymenoptera, Megachilidae.
AAUCUACAUUGUGCGAUUCGCUAAAUUCGGUUUCUUACUCACUCACGUCCUACCCGAUCCGGCACCCGUUUUUCUUAUCACGGCGCACUUCAAGUUGGCGGAGAUCGUUCAACCAAAUCGCGUGAACAGUAACAAUCAACAAUAAAUAGGAGAAGAAGAAAGUAAAUCAUAGAAAACUGAUAAGUAUAAGUAUAACAGAAGUAAAUCAAAUGAAUGAGGCAAAGUAUAGCCAAAAACAUCGGAUUUUAAUACCAAAUAGGCACCAUGCAUUGGCACAAAAUAAACAAAGGAGAAGAAGAUCACCACAAAGGAAAAAGUGACAACCAGAAGAACGACUAGAAAUAAGAUGGAACUAGAUUAAAAUGCUGAACCAGCAGAAAACACCUCCUGAGCCACCAAGAUAAUACAGGUUAAGAAUUGAUUAAAACUUCUAUUACAUAUAACCAAACCACCUUGCAAUGAACAGAAAAUUUUACCAACCUAUCAUGAAAGAAUACCAUACCUCCACAAAAG